CACGACACUGCUUCAAUGUACUUACAACACACCUCUAGCCGUUCUUGCAUAUUCAGUUUUUUCCUGUUGAUUUGUUCUCUGCAAUGUUCCUCAAACAAGGUGAGUAGCACCUCUGCUUUAGUUUCAUUCUAGUCAACCCAGAAAUGCAAUAUACAACAUGAAUUUAAAAACACAAUGUUUCUUCCUCACCUAGCCUCCUUAAGAAGAAUACACUAACUUUUCCUUCCAUUGGUGAAGAGGCAAAGUGAUCCCCUCCGCUGACAAUGUUGACCUACUUGCAUAGAGUGCGUGCGAGUCGUCAUUUUCGCAUGAUGAAUGGAAACUGGCCAGUCCGUAAUCUGUAAUUUUCAACACAAAUCGACUGUCCACCACACAAUUAGAUGACUUCAGAUUUCCAUGGGAGCCGAUGUAGCUGUUGUGCAGAUAGUUCAUUCCCUGGCGGAGCAAGCAUGAAAUGUACCGUUCAAGACAUUUUUCCUACAGUAUAGCAUACGUGAAAACAUACUGAUCAUGUGGAAAAUAUGUGUUUUGAGUUUGAUCGAAAUGGAAAUGCAAUAAAAAUUCUGCAUGGA
This is a long non-coding RNA of Oncorhynchus nerka (sockeye salmon), 572 nucleotides long. RefSeq lists it as uncharacterized. The transcript is spliced from 2 exons. The record is from RefSeq and is a predicted model, not a curated record. Lineage: Eukaryota; Metazoa; Chordata; Actinopteri; Salmoniformes; Salmonidae.